RNAcentral lists this unclassified non-coding RNA (337 nucleotides) under soil metagenome. RNAcentral describes it as "partial contains 5.8S ribosomal RNA, internal transcribed spacer 2, and large subunit ribosomal RNA". The stretch from base 1 to 120 matches the Rfam family "5.8S ribosomal RNA", at positions 35 to 154 of the family's 154-position model. The record is from RNAcentral.
GAUGAAGAACGCAGUGAAAUGCGAUAAGUAGUGUGAAUUGCAGAAUUCAGUGAAUCAUCGAAUCUUUGAACGCACAUUGCGCCCCUUGGUAUUCUAUGGGGCAUGCCUGUUCGAGCGUCAUUUGUACCUUCAAGCUCUGCUUGGUGUUGGGUGUUUGUCUCGCCUCUGCGUGUAGACUCGCCUCAAAACAAUUGGCAGCCGGCGUAUUGAUUUCGGAGCGCAGUACAUCUCGCGCUUUGCACUCAUAACGACGACGUCCAAAAGUACAUUUUUACACUCUUGACCUCGGAUCAGGUAGGGAUACCCGCUGAACUUAAGCAUAUCAAUAAGCGGAGGA